This 451-nucleotide ribosomal RNA is filed under the name uncultured bacterium. RNAcentral's name for it is "partial 16S ribosomal RNA". It matches the Rfam family "Bacterial small subunit ribosomal RNA", at positions 354 to 796 of the family's 1533-position model. The record is from RNAcentral.
GUGGGGAAUAUUGGACAAUGGGCGCAAGCCUGAUCCAGCCAUGCCGCGUGUGUGAAGAAGGCCUUUUGGUUGUAAAGCACUUUAAGCGAGGAGGAGGCUCCUUUAGUUAAUACCUAAAGAGAGUGGACGUUACUCGCAGAAUAAGCACCGGCUAACUCUGUGCCAGCAGCCGCGGUAAUACAGAGGGUGCGAGCGUUAAUCGGAUUUACUGGGCGUAAAGCGUGCGUAGGCGGCUUUUUAAGUCGGAUGUGAAAUCACUGAGCUUAACUUAGGAAUUGCAUUCGAUACUGGAAAGCUAGAGGAUGGGAGAGGAUGGUAGAAUUCCAGGUGUAGCGGUGAAAUGCGUAGAGAUCUGGAGGAAUACCGAUGGCGAAGGCAGCCAUCUGGCCUAAUACUGACGCUGAGGUACGAAAGCAUGGGGAGCAAACAGGAUUAGAAACCCGGGUAGUCC